Molecule: ribosomal RNA, 266 nt
Filed under: uncultured bacterium
Lineage: Bacteria
Description: partial 16S ribosomal RNA
Rfam family: Bacterial small subunit ribosomal RNA
Source: RNAcentral
UGCGGAAUUUUAGAUAAUGGAGGGAACUCUGAUCUAGCGACGCCGCGUGCAGGAAGAAGGUCUUCGGAUUGUAAACUGCUGUGGUAAGGGAAAAAUGCUAUGUAGAGUGGAAAGCUACAUAGAGGGAUGGUACCUUACUAGAAAGCCCCGGCUAACUACGUGCCAGCAGCCGCGGUAAUACGUAGGGGGCGAGCGUUACCCGGAAUCACUGGGCGUAAAGGGAGCGUAGGUGGCCUAACAUGUCAACUGUGAAAACCCGGAGCUCA